Molecule: ribosomal RNA, 500 nt
Filed under: uncultured bacterium
Lineage: Bacteria
Description: partial 16S ribosomal RNA
Rfam family: Bacterial small subunit ribosomal RNA
Source: RNAcentral
GACGAACGCUGGCGGCGUGCUUAACACAUGCAAGUCGAACGGGUCUGCCCUGUUUUUUGCGGGGUGGGUCAGUGGCGAACGGGUGAGUAACACGUGAGUAACCUGCCCCUCACUUCUGGAUAACCGCUUGAAAGGGUGGCUAAUACGGGGUGUUCUGGCUGUGCCGCAUGGUGUGGCUGGGAAAGAUUCACUUUUGUGGUGUUUUGGUGGGGGAUGGGCUCGCGGCCUAUCAGCUUGUUGGUGGGGUGAUGGCCUGCCAAGGCUUUGACGGGUAGCCGGCCUGAGAGGGUGGGCGGUCACACUGGGACUGAGAUACGGCCCAGACUCCUGCGGGAGGCAGCAGUGGGGGGUAUUGCACAAUGGGCGGAAGCCUGACGCAGCGACGUCGCGUGAGGGAUGGAGGCCUUCGGGUUGUGAACCUCUUUCGCCGGUGAAGAAGGUCCUGCUCUUUGUGGUGGGGUUGACGGUAGCCGGGUUAUGAAGCGCCGGCUAACUACGUG